This is a non-coding RNA of Solanum lycopersicum (tomato), 1297 nucleotides long. The record is from RefSeq and is a predicted model, not a curated record. Lineage: Eukaryota; Viridiplantae; Streptophyta; Magnoliopsida; Solanales; Solanaceae.
AAAUGAAGGAUAUUUACUCGUUAUAUAUUUUCUUUACCAAAUGAUGUCUUGUCAUAGAGUAAAAUAUUCUCUCAUUUACCCUAAUAAAACAAACUUAAUAAUAUUUACUCGAGAUUUUUUUUUUUAACCAAAUAAAAGACGUACACUAAUUUUGAGGAACAAAGGUGUAAAGCAAAAUUCAUGCAAAUUGACAAAAAAUUCUAUUAUCAACAAACAAUUUUUUUUUAUCGCCAAUUAAAAGCAAACCAAAUCUUUAUUUGAAAAGUUGGUUUUUACCUUUGAAUUGAAAGUUUAAACUUUUGAUAAGUUUUGAGUUUGAAAGGCUAAGUUGUUAAGAAAGUGGUUUAUGGUAUCUUUUGGAGUUUCGAGUGUCGAAAUUGGAAUCUGUCGAUUUCAUCAGCCCCAAAAUAUGAAAUCUAAUUUGUGAGAGUUGUCGGUUCCGUUUUUGAGAUUUUUUGAGGAUUUGAGGUCCUAAGUUGUUAAAUUGAGGAAUGUAAAGUUCGGAUGCUCGGAUGGGGAUUCCAAGAGUUUAGUUGGAUUCGGAGGAUAAUUUUAGGCCUAGGUGAGAUCUUGAUUGAUUUUUGAGAGUUUUCGAGUUUAUUUUAGCCUUUUUAGAACUGAGUUGAUUUCUUGUGAUUUUCACAUAUAUCCGGUCAAGGAAGCCUCAGAUUCAUGUUUUGACAGUUCCAUUAAUUCUUGAAUGUCGAGUAUAAUCAAUUUUCAUAUGUGAUUUUGAGUUAGCUUAUUUUUCUGCGUUCUGGUGCAAUUCUGCGUGUUCGCGGAGGGUAAGUGGUGAGAAUCCCGCAUUUGUGGAGUCUCCUCACGUUCGAAGGAGGUCAAGGUGUUUGAUCUCCGCGUUCGCGAAGUAACCCUUGCAGUGUUAAACCCAAAUUUGAGGGUUUCUUCAUUUUUAUUUUUGGAUCUUCGAGAAUUCGGUAGAGGCGAUUUCAGUCAGGCUUUUCAAGAUAAAAUGAUCGGAUUGUGUGUCUUCAAAAGUGAUUUGAAAGAAGAAGACUCAACUAUUGAAGUGAUUGUUGAUUGAUUUAAGGCAAAUAGAUUCCUAAUCCUUGUGCAUGUUGGAGUAAUAGGAAUGAGGUGAAGGAUUUAAAUCGUCCACUUGAUAUAUGGUAUUAUAACUAUUGGAGUGGUUGUUUGAAUUUCGAAUUUCAUUGUGCUGCUCUAAAAUUGUUAACAUUAUCCAUCAUUGGAAUUCUUUUUAGAAGGUAGAUUGAGGAAGUGUUCUUUUCCCUAUUUUUAUAACAUUUUUCACAUAUGAAGAAAAUGGUAUUGUCAACAA